RNAcentral lists this long non-coding RNA (633 nucleotides) under Aquilegia coerulea. RNAcentral describes it as "long non-coding RNA (ACOE_LNC002323)". The record is from RNAcentral. Lineage: Eukaryota; Viridiplantae; Streptophyta; Magnoliopsida; Ranunculales; Ranunculaceae.
AUGAAAAUAAAUGGUUGGGGGUCUCAGCUAUUUUCUUUUGGUGUUUAAAGUUGAUGUGCAUGGUGUGAACAAUUUCUCUUCCUCAAGAAAACAAAAAAGGGUAGUAGAAAAAGGAAAGGAAACAAAGAUGUUUGAUUUAUAACAAAUUUUUUUGAAAGGUAACAAAAGGAAAAAGAUGUAUGAACUAUGAAGAGCUUGGUUAACCAACUAAGGUAUCCUCUGCCAAGAGAUCGAGUUUAAAGAGAGUGUCAUAAUAUAUAUUCUUGUGGAUCUUCGUUAUUUGUUUAAUUUACAUUCGUAUAUGUCUAAACCCAACACUAAUCUUUUGAUAUAUUUUCAUCGGCAGAGAAAAGAUAAGAAAGAACAAUCAACAAUCAGCAGAAAAAGGUAAAGACAUUGAGCAGAAAUUUGGCGUGUUUCCUGCGCCGGACAGUGUCAUGAAUGUACCAUCAGCACCCAAUUGUGUACACAGAUGACUCUCAAAAUGAUAGUCACCAAGGAGAGGGUUGGAACAAGGAAUCUGACAAUGGAAGGCAAGUUCGAGCUCGUAAAAAUUAGGGGCUCUGUCACUGCCUUUGAAUGUCAUCUAUCGAUCUUUGAUUUACUCAAACUUCAUGUUCAUACCAUUGCCUU